GAGAGGUUUCUUCCAAAAACUUGAGGAAAAAUCAAUGUUCAUAAGUUUCCUUCUUCUUUUCCAUUGUUCUUUUUCUUUUUAUAUAUCAGAACAGAAAGAAAAAUAUAUUGAUAUAUUAUGGAGGUUUCAUGAUUUCAAUGGAUGUCAGUUUUACUUAGCAUUUUGAAUGUUUCAAUUCGAUUCUGGUUUUUUUGGUACGAAAAAGUGGAAAUUAUUGGAGGUUUGAAUACGUUGCUGCUGACUGGGCUGUAGCUGCUUCAUUUUGAGUUUUUUUGUGGGAUUAUUUUCUCAGAGGAUCAGA
Molecule: long non-coding RNA, 301 nt
Filed under: Nicotiana benthamiana
Lineage: Eukaryota; Viridiplantae; Streptophyta; Magnoliopsida; Solanales; Solanaceae
Description: long non-coding RNA (NBEN_LNC025492)
Source: RNAcentral